This 254-nucleotide ribosomal RNA is filed under the name uncultured bacterium. Its description in RNAcentral is "partial 16S ribosomal RNA". It matches the Rfam family "Bacterial small subunit ribosomal RNA", at positions 524 to 776 of the family's 1533-position model. The record is from RNAcentral.
UACGUAGGGUGCAGGCGUUAAUCGGAAUUACUGGGCGUAAAGCGUGCGCAGGCGGUCUUUUAAGUCAGAUGUGAAAUCCCCGGGCUUAACCUGGGAACUGCGUUUGAAACUGGAAGGCUAGAGUGUGGCAGAGGGGGGGUGGAAUUCCACGUGUAGCAGUGAAAUGCGUAGAGAUGUGGAGGAACACCGAUGGCGAAGGCAGCCCCCUGGGCUAACACUGACGCUCAUGCACGAAAGCGUGGGGAGCAAACAGG